GGGCUAUGCGGCAGGCUACCAUGCACGUCGAGCGGAUGAAGAGAGCUUGCUCUCUGAUUCAGCGGCGGACGGGUGAGUAAUGCCUAGGAAUCUGCCUGGUAGUGGGGGACAACGUCUCGAAAGGGACGCUAAUACCGCAUACGUCCUACGGGAGAAAGCAGGGGACCUUCGGGCCUUGCGCUAUCAGAUGAGCCUAGGUCGGAUUAGCUAGUUGGUGAGGUAAUGGCUCACCAAGGCGACGAUCCGUAACUGGUCUGAGAGGAUGAUCAGUCACACUGGAACUGAGACACGGUCCAGACUCCUACGGGAGGCAGCAGUGGGGAAUAUUGGACAAUGGGCGAAAGCCUGAUCCAGCCAUGCCGCGUGUGUGAAGAAGGUCUUCGGAUUGUAAAGCACUUUAAGUUGGGAGGAAGGGCAGUAACUUAAUACGUUGCUGUUUUGACGUUACCGACAGAAUAAGCACCGGCUAACUCUGUGCCAGCAGCCGCGGUAAUACAGAGGGUGCAAGCGUUAAUCGGAAUUACUGGGCGUAAAGCGCGCGUAGGUGGUUUGUUAAGUUGGAUGUGAAAGCCCCGGGCUCAACCUGGGAACUGCAUUCAAAACUGACAAGCUAGAGUAUGGUAGAGGGUGGUGGAAUUUCCUGUGUAGCGGUGAAAUGCGUAGAUAUAGGAAGGAACACCAGUGGCGAAGGCGACCACCUGGACUGAUACUGACACUGAGGUGCGAAAGCGUGGGGAGCAAACAGGAUUAGAUACCCUGGUAGUCCACGCCGUAAACGAUGUCAACUAGCCGUUGGGAGCCUUGAGCUCUUAGUGGCGCAGCUAACGCAUUAAGUUGACCGCCUGGGGAGUACGGCCGCAAGGUUAAAACUCAAAUGAAUUGACGGGGGCCCGCACAAGCGGUGGAGCAUGUGGUUUAAUUCGAAGCAACCCCGAAGAACCUUACCAGGCCUUGACAUCCAAUGAACUUUCCCGAGAUGGAUUGGUGCCUUCGGGAACAUUGAAACAGGUGCUGCAUGGCUUUCCUCAACUCCGGGCCUGGGAAUGUUGGGUUAAAUCCCGUAACCAGCGCAACCCUUUGUCCUUAAUUACCAACAAGUAAUGGUGGGCACUCUAAAGGAACUGCCGGGACAAACCCGAAGAAGGGGGGAUAACCUCAAGCCUUCGGGGCCUUACGGCCGGGGUAACACCUGGCUAAAAUGGGGGGACCAAAGGUGGCCACCCCCGAGGGGGACUUAUCCUAAAAACCAAUUGAUUCCGAUACAACUUCGAAU
This 1273-nucleotide ribosomal RNA is filed under the name Pseudomonas putida. RNAcentral describes it as "bacterial SSU rRNA". It matches the Rfam family "Bacterial small subunit ribosomal RNA", at positions 33 to 1310 of the family's 1533-position model. Lineage: Bacteria; Pseudomonadati; Pseudomonadota; Gammaproteobacteria; Pseudomonadales; Pseudomonadaceae. The record is from RNAcentral.